UACGAAGGGGGCGAGCGUUGUUCGGAAUUACUGGGCGUAAAGGGCGCGCAGGCGGCCCUUGAAGUCAGGCGUGAAAGCCCCGGGCUCAACCUGGGAGGUGCGCUUGAUACUCGAGGGCUUGAGUGCGGGAGAGGAGAGUGGAAUUCCCAGUGUAGAGGUGAAAUUCGUAGAUAUUGGGAAGAACACCGGUGGCGAAAGCGGCGCACUGGACCAUAACUGACGCUGAGGCGCGAAAGCUAGGGGAGCAAACAGG
This 253-nucleotide ribosomal RNA is filed under the name uncultured bacterium. Its description in RNAcentral is "partial 16S ribosomal RNA". It matches the Rfam family "Bacterial small subunit ribosomal RNA", at positions 524 to 776 of the family's 1533-position model. The record is from RNAcentral.